This 1244-nucleotide ribosomal RNA is filed under the name metagenome. RNAcentral's name for it is "SSU rRNA". It matches the Rfam family "Eukaryotic small subunit ribosomal RNA", at positions 527 to 1786 of the family's 1831-position model. The record is from RNAcentral.
AAAUCGUUCGACGAGGAUCUAUUGGAGGGCAAGUCUGGUGCCAGCAGCCGCGGUAAUUCCAGCUCCAAUAGCGUAUAUUAAAGUUGUUGCAGUUAAAAAGCUCGUAGUUGGAUCUGGGGUUCGGGUCGGCGGUUUGCCGCUUCGGCGGCUACUGCCGUGCUCGACUCUUACUAGCCGGUGCGUCUUGCGGUGCUCUUCAUCGAGUGCCGUAGGAGCCUGGCAUGUUUACUUUGAAAAAAUUAGAGUGCUCAAAGCAGGCGAUUCCGCCUGAAUAGUGUUGCAUGGAAUAAUGGAAUAGGACCUCGGUUCUAUUUUGUUGGUUUUCGGAACUUGAGGUAAUGAUUAAGAGGGACGGUCGGGGGCAUUCGUAUUUCGGUGUUAGAGGUGAAAUUCUUGGAUCGCUGAAAGACGGACAAAUGCGAAAGCAUCUGCCAAGAACGUCUCCAUUAAUCAAGAACGAAAGUCAGAGGUUCGAAGACGAUCAGACACCGUCCUAGUUCUGACCAUAAACGAUGCCAACUAGCGAUCCGCAGUGGUUGCUAUAAACGGACUCUGCGAGCAGCUUCCGGGAAACCAAAGUGUUUGGGUUCCGGGGGAAGUAUGGUUGCAAAGCUGAAACUUAAAGGAAUUGACGGAAGGGCACCACCAGGAGUGGAGCCUGCGGCUUAAUUUGACUCAACACGGGGAAACUCACCCGGUCCGGACACUGUAAGGAUUGACAGAUCGAGAGCUCUUUCUUGAUUCGGUGGAUGGUGGUGCAUGGCCGUUCUUAGUUGGUGGAGUGAUUUGUCUGGUUAAUUCCGAUAACGAACGAGACUCUAGCCUGCUAACUAGUUGCGCCGUGUUCAUACGCGGCUGUAGACUUCUUAGAGGGACAGGUGGCGUUUAGCCACACGAAAUUGAGCAAUAACAGGUCUGUGAUGCCCUUAGAUGUCCGGGGCCGCACGCGCGCUACACUGAAGGAGUCAGCGUGUGCUAUCCGGGCUCGGAAGAGUUCGGUAACCCGUUGAAACUCCUUCGUGCUUGGGAUUGUGGCUUGUAAUUAUCGCGCAUGAACGAGGAAUUCCCAGUAAGUGCAAGUCAUCAGCUUGCGCUGACUACGUCCCUGCCCUUUGUACACACCGCCCGUCGCUACUACCGAUUGAAUGGUUUAGCAAGGUACUCGGAUUGGUCUCGAUCUUGUACGAAAGUGCGGGAUCUGUGGCCGAGAAGAAGGCCAAACUUGAUCAUUUAGAGGAAGUAAA